GAGAGUUAAACAGUACGUGAAAUUGUUGAAAGGGAAACGAUUGAAGCCAGUCGUACCUUCGGGUAAUCAGCCUUUCGGGUGCGAUUCUGUGGAGUUUGAGGAGCUUAACACCUUCAUGCUUUUGCAUAUUCGUGCUCUUGGGUGUACUUGCCCGUGUGGUUGGUUAACAUCAAUUUCGGGCACCAUAAAAUGGCUGGAGGAAUGUAGCUUCGAUCUUGUAUUGAAGUGUUAUAGCCUUCGGUAGAUGUGGUGAUCGAGAUUGAGGAUUGCAACGGAUACCUUUCGGGGCUACCUGUCUGAUCUCUGAUUGUUGCUUUGGUGCUGAAAGCUUGCUUAUGGUUAUCAAAGUCGAUGGUCAAUAGGUUAGAAUGGGUUAAAUUCGUUAAGGAUGUUGACGUAAUGGCUUUAAACGA
RNAcentral lists this ribosomal RNA (413 nucleotides) under uncultured Rhizophagus. RNAcentral's name for it is "partial 28S ribosomal RNA". The record is from RNAcentral. Lineage: Eukaryota; Fungi; Glomeromycota; Glomeromycetes; Glomerales; Glomeraceae.